RNAcentral lists this ribosomal RNA (410 nucleotides) under Rhipicephalus sanguineus (brown dog tick). Its description in RNAcentral is "partial 16S ribosomal RNA". The stretch from base 264 to 410 matches the Rfam family "Bacterial large subunit ribosomal RNA", at positions 2473 to 2620 of the family's 2925-position model. The record is from RNAcentral. Lineage: Eukaryota; Metazoa; Arthropoda; Arachnida; Ixodida; Ixodidae.
GGUGUUGAAUAAGAUUUUAAUUGAAUGCUAAGAGAAUGGAAGUCCAGAAAAAAACUUUUUUUAAAUUAAAAAUUGAAGUUUUUUUAAUUUGUGCAGAAACAAUUAUUUAUAUUAAAGACAAGAAGACCCUAUGAAUUUAUUAAAUUUUUAUUUAAUAUGUAAUUACUAUUAGAAAAAUUUUGGCUGGGGCGGCUAGAAAAUAUUAUGAACUUUUUAAAAAUAAAAUGAUCCAUUAUUAAUGAUUUUAUGUUAAAUACUCUAGGGAUAACAGCGUUAUAUUUUUUGAUAGAUCAUAUUGACAAAAAAGUUUGCGACCUCGAUGUUGGAUUAGGAUACUUUUUUAAUGAAGAUAUUAAAAAAAGAAGUUUGUUCAACUUUUAAUUUCCUACUUGAUCUGAGUUCAGACCGGA